UUUGACACAAGAUACAAGUACACAAGUUCUGGAUUCAACCGCCAGCCCAACCGGCAAAUCCAAAUAAAAAAUGGAAGUAGGUUAGGAAAUUCGUUAUUUUAACAAUCUUUAUUAAGGUUGUAUACAUUUAUUUCACCUCCAAAUUAUUUUAAUAAAAUGUCCGCCGAAAAAAUCGUUCUGGAAAUUGAAAACACCGAAGUCAUAUGUAGAAAACAGACACUUAUUGAAAACAGUGAUUAUUUCAGAACAAUGUUUGAAGGAAAUUUUAUAGAAAGAAAAAUGAAAAAAAUUAAGUUACAGGACGUCGACCUGAAAGCAAUGGAAAUAAUACUGCGUUUAGUCGAAAACAGAAGUUAUGCUUUUGAAAAUGAAGAUAUUCUGAUGAUUCUGCAUGUAGCUGAUAUGCUACAAUUCGUCGAAAUCUUCGACUCAAUUCUGCAUGAAAUCACGGAAAUCUUAAGCCCAAUACAUUGCUUGAAAAUUUGGCAAGCUACAGAACAAUUAUCGAUAAAACCACUUUAUCUCAAAGCCAAGUCAAUGGCAUUGGAUAAGUUCAUGGAGGUUAAAGAAACUGAAUGUAUACUGGAACUCUCCUUAGGAAGGCUAUGUGGUUACGUUGGGCAUGUGCAUUUACGUGCUGAUAAUGAAUUUCAUGUGUUUCAAACAGUUAUGAACUGGUGGCAGGCAAACAACAACUGGAACCUGGAAAAUUGUGAUGUUACUUUGCUCAAGCUGCUCAGUUGCAUUGAUUAUCAAAACCUAGAUGACGGGUAUAUCAAAGAGAUGAUGGAGUAUUCUGGUAUUUCAGACAAUAACACGAUCAAAGAUAUACUGUUGUGUUUAUUCAAUCUAAGGAAUGGUUUUGCAACUGAUGGGUUUUCGCAGAGCUGCCAAGAGAAAGCCUCAUUAUUAUUGAACUCAACCAGAAGUAGGAGUAUUGCUAGUUGCCCUUGCAUUCUAGUCAAAACUAAGAGCCCAUAUGAUGAUGGUUUUAUAGAGGAAAAAUCAGAAUCGGAGAGAGAGAAAACUGAAUUUCAUGUUCUAUAUUAUGGAGAGAUUGGAUGGUUGGAAGUGAAAAUCGAUAGUCCAGCCUUGCGGUUUGAACCACUGGUUCACACAGCGGUCGAUUGAAUGAGUCGAGCAAAUCACCCACGUCAACCCACCUAGCUACCGUCCUUUGGAUAAAAAUACAAAAAAGAACAAGAAUUUGCAAAAGAAACCGAAAAUAUAAAAUGAGGAGAUCACUAGUCUAGUCCAAUUUCAUGUUGAGGAAAACGAAAGAAAGAAUCUACAGAACAGUUGAAAGAGCAACACUCAUGUACGCAAGUGAGACAUGCUUACUGAAAAAGUCAGAUGAGGAAGAUUUAGAGCGAUGGAAAAAAAAAUUUCCAGGGCUCAGAAAAUGAGAUGGUUAGUGCAUGUGGAAAGGAUGACUAGAACCAGACUAACAAAAUUGGUUCUCUACAGAAAACCUAUUGAAAAAAUGAGUAGAGGAAGACCUCGCAAAAGAUGGAUGAACUAUGUGGAAGGCAAUUUGAAAUGGUUAACCGUAAUGGACUAGUGAAAUUAAGCAAAUGAUCGAGGAAUUCGGAGAAGAAUUGUGAAUGAAGCAAAGGAGAAAUUAUAAAUAAAAGGUUGUAAAUU
Molecule: unclassified non-coding RNA, 1644 nt
Filed under: Leptinotarsa decemlineata (Colorado potato beetle)
Lineage: Eukaryota; Metazoa; Arthropoda; Insecta; Coleoptera; Chrysomelidae
Description: kelch-like protein 41, transcript variant X2
Source: RNAcentral